ACUCCUACGGGAGGCAGCAGUAGGGAAUUUUCCACAAUGGGGGCAACCCUGAUGGAGCAACGCCGCGUGCAGGAUGAAUGCCUUCGGGUUGUAAACUGCUUUUAUCUGUGACGAUUUUGACGGUAGCAGAUGAAUAAGGAUCGGCUAACUCCGUGCCAGCAGCCGCGGUAAU
This 172-nucleotide ribosomal RNA is filed under the name uncultured bacterium. RNAcentral's name for it is "partial 16S ribosomal RNA". It matches the Rfam family "Bacterial small subunit ribosomal RNA", at positions 335 to 524 of the family's 1533-position model. The record is from RNAcentral.